This 551-nucleotide long non-coding RNA is filed under the name Capra hircus (goat). Its description in RNAcentral is "lncRNA (ENSCHIG00000002707.1)". Lineage: Eukaryota; Metazoa; Chordata; Mammalia; Artiodactyla; Bovidae. The record is from RNAcentral.
GGCGCCGCCGGCCCGAGGCACCUGUGCGCGCCCGCACCGCCGGCAGCCCAAUUGCCGCGGCUCCCCGACUCGGAUCCGCCGGCGGUCGCCUUGCCUCGCUCUCCUUUCUGGUCAGAUUACGAUCAUGCCUGGGCGUCCAUGACAUCUGUGUACUCCUCUAUUGCUGUCUGCUUCCCCAGGCGCUCUUUGGCACAGGGUGUCCGGCCAGAAGGAGCCACCGGCGGGGAACUCGAUGCAGGCAACCGCCGUCAGCUCCUUGGAGCAGUUGCUUGCGCACGGGUGGUAGUGUUUGCCUCCUGGGUAGACCAGCUAAUGAGGCUCCAGAAACAGAGCAGAUGGCAUAUGGACAUGGUUCAAAGCAGCAGAGAUUACAGUUUAUAAGAAGGGACCAGGACCUGCUCUCCUUGAGGCAGGAAGAAGAAAUCACUGGGAUAAAAUAUGAGUCUUUGUAGUUGCAAGUCUUAUCCUUUGGGAUUGUACAAGCAAAAUUCACUGUGGAGGCAAGGUAUGUCAAAGAUUGAAGUGAGGAGUGACCUCUUUCUUGACACCAC